Molecule: long non-coding RNA, 886 nt
Organism: Archocentrus centrarchus (flier cichlid)
Lineage: Eukaryota; Metazoa; Chordata; Actinopteri; Cichliformes; Cichlidae
Exons: 3
Source: RefSeq, a predicted model, not a curated record
GCAGGUUUGCCUCACAGCACAAUUUAGAAGUGACCAAAGCCAUUUCACAGGCAGUAAUGAAUGGGAAUGACUUUGAGGCUUCUUUGAUAAGGAAAGCUUGCAACAGAUAUUAUACAAAUGUCAGACGGGAGUUCAGGCUUCUUGAGGAGAACAGGAAAGGAGAGGAUCAGCGAACCAAAACCCUCAACAACAGGAGACACAGCUGUAGCCAGGGAAGUGCUCAGCCAGGAUGAGUUUGAGUAUUUGAAAGGCGUCCCUGCGUGAUUCAUGAGUGACGAGGAAACUGAUGAGGAGGACAGACAGACGUGGAUAGUCAGCCAGCCCGAGUGGAGGGCCACCAGGCUCAGUGAAAUACUGCACAAGUGCCAAAAUAAACUAGGACAGCAGAACUCCUGCAAGGUGAAACACAGGAGGGAAGUCAGCGGCAUGCCCAGCAAAAGGCAGCCUCCUAAGGGGGUUAAGGCCCUUUAUUUGAAAAAGUUAAAAAAAAAAAAGUACAUUAAGUUCCAAAUUGCUAGUGUUUGUCUGAGUACUGUUGAGUAGUCUUCUGUUUAUUUCUUGUUUCAUGGGUUUUUUUUUCAUUUCUCACACACUUCUGUUCUGCAUUUAAUAUUUUUGUAAAUCAACGUUCAUUUUCUAAAUGAACACAUCUGAGUCCUUCUCUGUGACAGUCUGAGCUACACCAGUGUGACAAAAGUCUGCUCUGAGACUGAAUGAAAUGUUUAUCAAAAUACUUGAUUCAUUUUCUGACUGAGCUAAGUGAUUAAUUUUUGGCAGUCCACCAUUACAUUUUAACUAUUCAAUUUUUCAAUUCAGUUUUAUUUAUAUAGCGCCAGAUCACAACAGUCACCUCAAGGCGUUUUGUAAGGUAAAGCCCCUACAGUAA